GGGGGGCUGGCGCAACGGUAGCGCGUUCGACUCCAGUAACGGAAAGUUAUCGAAAGGUUAUCUGUUCAAAUCAGGUGUCCCUCA
Exophiala spinifera is the source of this 84-nucleotide non-coding RNA. The record is from the annotation of a RefSeq genome assembly. Lineage: Eukaryota; Fungi; Ascomycota; Eurotiomycetes; Chaetothyriales; Herpotrichiellaceae.